GGGGAUUUAGCUCAGCGGCAUAAGCGCCUGCCUUGUAGGCAGGCAGUCGUGAGUUCAAUCCCUG
This is a transfer RNA of Cavia porcellus (domestic guinea pig), 64 nucleotides long. It matches the Rfam family "tRNA". Rfam says of the family: Transfer RNA (tRNA) molecules are approximately 80 nucleotides in length. Their secondary structure includes four short double-helical elements and three loops (D, anti-codon, and T loops). Lineage: Eukaryota; Metazoa; Chordata; Mammalia; Rodentia; Caviidae. The record is from Rfam.